GAAAUGUAUUUCGUAUUUUUCCGAAUUAUGUAAUCCGAAUGGCAUAUUGGUCAUUUUUGCAGAGCACGUCAGUAUGACAUAGAAUGGGAAAAAUAAUACUCAAAUUUUAAUUUCUUUACUUUUGUUUUCUUUUAUUCUCCAAAACCACACAUAACAACCCAUCCAUCAUCCUAAUUUCUACACCCAUGCACCAAUCCCAAAACUAAUAACCAUGAUCAGAUCUUCAAGCUACAUCAAGAGAUAAAGACAAAAUCUAGAUUUAUAUCAAGGAUGUGAAGCAAUCCAAUCAAUAAGGCAUCCUUCUUCAAACAAUCUUUUGAGCUUUUAUUACUCAUUCACUUUAUUUACCUUUUCAUGCUAAAACAUUGAGAAUAAUGUCCAAUUCAAAUAUGGAGUGGGGUACCUAAUAUUGUUCUUCUUUAAUCUAUGUUUUCUUUUGUUUUUCUUACUUUGACUAUUACAGUCAAGUUACUCAUUUGCUUGAACAUUUUGUUACAAUAUACUUGUAAUUUUAAUUCUUGUGUAUGUGUGGAUAGAUGGUAAGUAAAUUUUUGUUUGAUGAACCAACUCCAUGCUUGAGAAGUUAGCCCUAAAAAUGUGAGAUUUCGAGUCAUUAUAUGUCCUUGAACAAAACCAA
Molecule: long non-coding RNA, 637 nt
Filed under: Medicago truncatula (barrel medic)
Lineage: Eukaryota; Viridiplantae; Streptophyta; Magnoliopsida; Fabales; Fabaceae
Description: lncRNA gene2373
Source: RNAcentral